GACGAACGCUGGCGGCGUGCCUAAUACAUGCAAGUCGAACGAACUCUGGUAUUGAUUGGUGCUUGUCAUCAUGAUUUACAGUUUGAGUGAGUGGCGGAACUGGUGAGUAACACGUGGGGAAACCGUGCCCAGAAGCGGGGGAUAACACCUGGAAACAGAUGCUAAUAACCGCGAUAACAACUUGACCGCAUGGUCCGAGUUUGAAACGAUGGCUUCGGCUAUCUACG
This 227-nucleotide ribosomal RNA is filed under the name uncultured bacterium. Its description in RNAcentral is "partial 16S ribosomal RNA". It matches the Rfam family "Bacterial small subunit ribosomal RNA", at positions 28 to 224 of the family's 1533-position model. The record is from RNAcentral.